CAGCGUUCAUAACGAACGGUUUAUUUGAACACCAACACAAAGGGAAUAAUGCUCUCGGUCCGAGGACCCCUUUUCCUCCAAGACCUGCGCUUACAGCCAGCCUGCCUUAGAGCCCCUAAGUUCUUUCCCAACACACCCGGAGACACGGUCACCCCACCAUUUUCCCCCUAAGUGCCCCCAGUGGUUACACACGUUUAACAUUAUUUCCCAUAAUGCAACUAUUUACAUUAAAGCAGUAACGUGGGUCGUUACAUAGCCCCCCAUCAAAAAGAAUGGCAGCGUCCCCGCUGCUGCCUGCCCCACAAGUGUCCCAACGUCCAGCGCUGUUCUCACACGCAUCCGGUCGGGAGUACAGGUCCCAGACGCUCACCGCUGGUGGUUGGGGCGGGGAAACCUGCAAGAGACCCCCAUGGCGGCGCGCUCGGGGGUCGGGGUGGCCAUCCUCGUCCCCCGUCCGCCCGGCCUCGGCCCCUGCAGGACUCCCUCACUCGCACGUGGCGCGUCCCGAACAUGGCGGCGCCCACGUGGCUUUCCCUAACCAGCUUCCGUGGGACCUUCGCGACGGCUCCCCGCAGCCGCUCCGCGUUGUCCCCGCUCCGUUGUCGGGGGCGAACAUCUUUCUCGCGCCCCCCGUCGUCUCGCCGCGCGCCUCGCCGCUCGGCCGUCUUUCGGCGAAGGACUCGGCGAAGGACCCGGCAAAGCCGCCCUGCUUGCCGCUCUCGCCUCCGCCGAUUCGCCGCGACGCUCGCAAAACUGGCCGCCUCUUGCUACGCAGCCCUCCUCCUUCUGCGGCGCCUGCUCCGCCGCGCCGCUCCUCAACAACGCCCGCCUGGGCUUCAGGCAGGCUGGGCGCUUUUUCCCCGAAAGUGCCGGACUCCCGUUCCGCGGGAGAAUUCGCGUCGGCGGUUCCGCUCCUCUCCGACACGGAGCUUUGCCCGUCCACAGACGAGGCACACUGCUCCGCGUCGCCCAGCACGGCAUCCGUCCUGCUCGAGAAAGCGGCGCUCUUCGCGGGGCGACUUUCCUCCGCGGUCGACGGCGGUUCGCUGCCUCUUCCUGCCGCUCUUUCUCUGGGCGCAGGGAGACCCCACUCGACCUGCUCGCCC
RNAcentral lists this long non-coding RNA (1106 nucleotides) under Scleropages formosus (Asian bonytongue). RNAcentral describes it as "lncRNA (ENSSFOG00015030675.1)". The record is from RNAcentral. Lineage: Eukaryota; Metazoa; Chordata; Actinopteri; Osteoglossiformes; Osteoglossidae.